This 381-nucleotide long non-coding RNA is filed under the name Erythranthe guttata (spotted monkey flower). Its description in RNAcentral is "long non-coding RNA (EGUT_LNC002238)". Lineage: Eukaryota; Viridiplantae; Streptophyta; Magnoliopsida; Lamiales; Phrymaceae. The record is from RNAcentral.
UCGAACACAUUAAGACUAUAACAAAGAAAGGUAGCACAUCUGAAAACGGCUCUGAAGUUACGACACACCACCAGUUUCAUCGAUUUGUGUUGUAAUACCUCCAUUGAGAAGACAAAUAUUUCAAACGGCUUCAGCGAAUCAUCUUUUCUGAUUUCAACUUUCAAUGGCAACGGUCAUUCUAUUAAUCAAUCCGAAGAUGGUGUCCAUAUUUCCAAAGAAGAGGUGCUAUAUUGGAAUUAUGGUGAUAUUGGAGUUGAGGAUGAGUUGAUUUUUGUUUAAUGUGGGAGGAAAGAAUUACUCAGAAAUAUUGGCUUCCCGAUUCUAUGUUACGAGAAUUAGAGGAUGCAUUAAUAUAUAAAUGGAUUUGCGAAAAUUGUUGAC